This 26-nucleotide non-coding RNA is filed under the name Rattus norvegicus (Norway rat). Lineage: Eukaryota; Metazoa; Chordata; Mammalia; Rodentia; Muridae. The record is from RNAcentral.
UAAUCCCUCGGUUUGGUAGGGGAUGC